AAGAAAAAGAAGGAAAUGAAAGGGUACACGAUUUUGAAAGACCCCGCAAGCGUAUUUAUGACAACGACGGGGCUAGAGAAAGAGAAGAACAAUGGCAGUGGACACGUGUUGUAGUAGCCAUUGGAUGAGUUAAUUGAUGGAAUUGAAGUAGGUCGUCGCUGAGAGGGAGCCCUGAAUGCGCCGUUCAGUUGUCUCUUCGGUAGCCGUUAAUACGCGGCUAAAGUAGUUGGUCGCUCCGG
RNAcentral lists this unclassified non-coding RNA (239 nucleotides) under Hevea brasiliensis (rubber tree). Lineage: Eukaryota; Viridiplantae; Streptophyta; Magnoliopsida; Malpighiales; Euphorbiaceae. The record is from RNAcentral.